RNAcentral lists this ribosomal RNA (253 nucleotides) under uncultured bacterium. RNAcentral's name for it is "partial 16S ribosomal RNA". It matches the Rfam family "Bacterial small subunit ribosomal RNA", at positions 524 to 776 of the family's 1533-position model. The record is from RNAcentral.
UACAGAGGGUGCGAGCGUUAAUCGGAAUUACUGGGCGUAAAGGGCGCGUAGGUGGUUUUGUAUGAAUGAUGUGAAAGCCCCGGGCUUAACCUGGGAAGUGCAUCGUUAACUGCAAGACUUGAGUAGGUGAGAGGGUAGCGGAAUUUCCGGUGUAGCGGUGAAAUGCGUAGAGAUCGGAAGGAACGUCAAUGGCGAAGGCAGCUACCUGGCACCAUACUGACACUGAGGCGCGAAAGCGUGGGGAGCGAACAGG